Molecule: long non-coding RNA, 297 nt
Filed under: Macaca mulatta (Rhesus monkey)
Lineage: Eukaryota; Metazoa; Chordata; Mammalia; Primates; Cercopithecidae
Description: lncRNA (ENSMMUG00000064301.1)
Source: RNAcentral
AUGCUGGCUCAGAAUAUUCAAGAUAAGUCCAGCUACAAUCGAUUCCACAGGGACCAGGCUCCCGCCAUGAUAAGAAAUGGAAAUAUCAUAGAUCAUACAUUGUUUUACACAGAAAAUGGGUCAGACUUUGAUACUAGCAGGAUAUGCCAUCAAAUAAAAACACAUCAAAACGGCAAAUUGUCCUCAAAAAGAACUCUACUAAUUUGUAUGCUCAGUGAAUUCGAGUGUGUUAUUCUUAUGCUGAAUUUAAGUAUUUUCUCUUCAAAAGAGACAUUUGGAAUACGUAUGUAUGAGUAG